GCUUUGCUGUGUCUGUGCUGAGAGUUCAAGAUGUAUUUUUUGAUAUCAUUAUCAGUCUAGAGAGUGGUGAGUCCUGAGGAAAAUGCAUGGCUGGAAGCUUUGUAACCGCUUUUUUCUCUCUGGAGGAUUGAUAGUUCAGUCCUUUCAGAUGUGGAUCAGACAUAUAUGCUCUAUGGGGUGUGAAGUGGGAAGAAGGAAAGACAAUAGGAAAAAUGAUCUUCAAUGACAUUAGCAAUCAGCACAAUUUACAAGAGUUAAAGUUACCAUAGGAACACAGAGAAGAUGAAAGUUUACUGCCAGAAUUAAUGCCCCCAACUUUGCUAUGAAGACCAAGGCACUGUGGAAUUGUGUGUCUGCAUUUGGAAAGUCAGCUUGUGCCUAAAUGGAUUUUGAAGAUAUCAGGCAUUCUAGGAUUGAGAAUGAGAAUUCCUUUUGU
This 436-nucleotide long non-coding RNA is filed under the name Pan troglodytes (chimpanzee). RNAcentral describes it as "long non-coding RNA NONPTRT017316". Lineage: Eukaryota; Metazoa; Chordata; Mammalia; Primates; Hominidae. The record is from RNAcentral.